AGUGAACGCUGGCGGUAGGCCUAACACAUGCAAGUCGAACGGCAGCACAGUAAGAGCUUGCUCUUACGGGUGGCGAGUGGCGGACGGGUGAGGAAUACAUCGGAAUCUACUUUUUCGUGGGGGAUAACGUAGGGAAACUUACGCUAAUACCGCAUACGACCUACGGGUGAAAGCAGGGGAUCUUCGGACCUUGCGCGAUUGAAUGAGCCGAUGUCGGAUUAGCUAGUUGGCGGGGUAAAGGCCCACCAAGGCGACGAUCCGUAGCUGGUCUGAGAGGAUGAUCAGCCACACUGGAACUGAGACACGGUCCGGACUCCAACGGGAGGCGGCGGGGGGAAAUAUUGAACAAUGGGCGCAAGCCUGAUCCAGCCAUACCGCGUGGGUGAAGAAGGCCUUCGGGUUGUAAAGCCCUUUUGUUGGGAAAGAAAAGCAGCAGGUUAAUACCCCGCUGUUCUGACGGUACCCAAAGAAUAAGCACCGGCUAACUGCGU
Molecule: ribosomal RNA, 491 nt
Filed under: uncultured bacterium
Lineage: Bacteria
Description: partial 16S ribosomal RNA
Rfam family: Bacterial small subunit ribosomal RNA
Source: RNAcentral